UGAUACAAAGCGAUGUAGCGCUCCCUCUGAGCAUUAUCUCUAUAGGCCACGUGCAUGUCAUCGAAAUCCUGCAUCCUGUAAAAGUUAAGAAAGUGAUCCUGAAAAUACAAACCAUUCAAAUCUUAGUCUCAAUGCAAAAUAUGAUAAAAUAAAAUAAAAAUAAAAAUAAAUAAAUGCGAAAAAGUAAAAUGAAAGAAAAACCAUGGGUUGCCUCCCACGCAGCGCUUGUUUAA
Molecule: long non-coding RNA, 233 nt
Filed under: Lathyrus oleraceus (garden pea)
Lineage: Eukaryota; Viridiplantae; Streptophyta; Magnoliopsida; Fabales; Fabaceae
Description: Pisum sativum (pea) long non-coding RNA (PSAT_LNC022731)
Source: RNAcentral